RNAcentral lists this ribosomal RNA (460 nucleotides) under uncultured bacterium. Its description in RNAcentral is "partial 16S ribosomal RNA". It matches the Rfam family "Bacterial small subunit ribosomal RNA", at positions 338 to 795 of the family's 1533-position model. The record is from RNAcentral.
CCUACGUGAGGCUGCAGUGAGGAAUAUUGGUCAAUGGGCGCGAGCCUGAACCAGCCAAGUAGCGUGAAGGAUGACUGCCCUACGGGUUGUAAACUUCUUUUAUAAAGGAAUAAAGUGAGGCACGUGUGCCUUUUUGUAUGUACUUUAUGAAUAAGGAUCGGCUAACUCCGUGCCAGCAGCCGCGGUAAUACGGAGGAUCUGAGCGUUAUCCGGAUUUAUUGGGUUUAAAGGGAGCGUAGAUGGGUUGUUAAGUCAGUUGUGAAAGUUUGCGGCUCAACCGUAAAAUUGCAAUUGAUACUGGCAGUCUUGAGUACAGUUGAGGUAGGUGGAAUUCGUGGUGUAGCGGUGAAAUGCUUAGAUAUCACGAAGAACUCCGAUUGCGAAGGCAGCUUACUAAACUGCCACUGACAUUGAUGCUCGAAAGUGUGGGUAUCAAACAGGAUUAGAUACCCCUGUAGUC